RNAcentral lists this ribosomal RNA (253 nucleotides) under uncultured bacterium. RNAcentral's name for it is "partial 16S ribosomal RNA". It matches the Rfam family "Bacterial small subunit ribosomal RNA", at positions 524 to 776 of the family's 1533-position model. The record is from RNAcentral.
UACGAAGGGGGCUAGCGUUGCUCGGAAUCACUGGGCGUAAAGCGCACGUAGGCGGCUUUUUAAGUCAGGGGUGAAAUCCUGGAGCUCAACUCCAGAACUGCCUUUGAUACUGAGAAGCUUGAGUCCGGGAGAGGGAUGCGGAAUUCCAGGUGUAGCGGUGAAAUGCGUAGAUAUCUGGAGGAACACCGGUGGCGAAGGCGGCAUCCUGGACCGGCAUUGACGCUGAGGCGCGAAAGCCAGGGGAGCAAACGGG